GAUGAACGCUGGCGGCGUGCCUAAUACAUGCAAGUCGAGCGAACGGACGAGAAGCUUUCUUUUCUGAUGUUAGCGGCGGACGGGUGAGUAACACGUGGAUAACCUACCUAUAAGACUGGGAUAACUUCGGGAAACCGGAGCUAAUACCGGAUAAUAUUUUGAACCGCAUGGUUCAAAAGUGAAAGACGGUCUUGCUGUCACUUAUAGAUGGAUCCGCGCUGCAUUAGCUAGUUGGUAAGGUAACGGCUUACCAAGGCAACGAUGCAUAGCCGACCUGAGAGGGUGAUCGGCCACACUGGAACUGAGACACGGUCCAGACUCCUACGGGAGGCAGCAGUAGGGAAUCUUCCGCAAUGGGCGAAAGCCUGACGGAGCAAAGCCGCGUGAGUGAUGAAGGUCUUCGGAUCUUAAAACUCUGUUAUUAGGGAAGAACAUAUGUGUAAGUAACUGUGCACAUCUUGAAGGUACCUAAUCAGAAAGCCACGGCUAACUACGUG
RNAcentral lists this ribosomal RNA (497 nucleotides) under uncultured bacterium. RNAcentral describes it as "partial 16S ribosomal RNA". It matches the Rfam family "Bacterial small subunit ribosomal RNA", at positions 28 to 507 of the family's 1533-position model. The record is from RNAcentral.